GAAGGUAUCCGUUCUGUAUCUCGUCUUUGACUCUAGAGAGAGUGUCAUCACAACAAAGACAAAGUACCUGGAGAAUCUGAUGGAAGCGUAUAUGCAUAACCAAAUGAUGGGACUCAAUCAUGCAUCCAAGGAGCAAGUGAAAGGGCACAAGUUACCUCGUCAGAGAGACAGAAGUGACUGGAUUCAGCCCUCUUGCUCCCUGGUCCCUCCCUUAGCUCUCCCUUCUUUUCAUGUUGCACCUGUUGUAAAACCACCAUUGUCACGAAUACACCCUCCACCCAGAUCCAACAUCAUUACUCGACCACAGCUUACAGGGAUCAGUAGUUUCGCAGCGGGCGAUAAAAGGAUCUGCUCCAGA
Molecule: long non-coding RNA, 358 nt
Organism: Polyodon spathula (Mississippi paddlefish)
Lineage: Eukaryota; Metazoa; Chordata; Actinopteri; Acipenseriformes; Polyodontidae
Exons: 4
Source: RefSeq, a predicted model, not a curated record